UACGGAGGGUGCGAGCGUUGUCCGGAAUCAUUGGGCGUAAAGGGCGCGUAGGUGGCGGGACAAGCGUGCGGUGAAAGCUCGGGGCUCAACCCCGAGUCGGCCGUGCGAACUGUUUUGCUGGAGCACUGUAGAGGCAGGUGGAAUUCCGGGUGUAGCGGUGGAAUGCGUAGAGAUCCGGAAGAACACCGGUGGCGAAGGCGGCCUGCUGGGCAGUGGCUGACGCUGAGGCGCGACAGCGGUGGGGAGCAAACAGG
RNAcentral lists this ribosomal RNA (254 nucleotides) under uncultured bacterium. RNAcentral's name for it is "partial 16S ribosomal RNA". It matches the Rfam family "Bacterial small subunit ribosomal RNA", at positions 524 to 776 of the family's 1533-position model. The record is from RNAcentral.